RNAcentral lists this ribosomal RNA (464 nucleotides) under uncultured Klebsiella sp. Its description in RNAcentral is "bacterial SSU rRNA". It matches the Rfam family "Bacterial small subunit ribosomal RNA", at positions 338 to 795 of the family's 1533-position model. Lineage: Bacteria; Pseudomonadati; Pseudomonadota; Gammaproteobacteria; Enterobacterales; Enterobacteriaceae. The record is from RNAcentral.
CCUACGGGAGGCAGCAGUGGGGAAUAUUGCACAAUGGGCGCAAGCCUGAUGCAGCCAUGCCGCGUGUGUGAAGAAGGCCUUCGGGUUGUAAAGCACUUUCAGCGGGGAGGAAGGCGGUGAGGUUAAUAACCUCAUCGAUUGACGUUACCCGCAGAAGAAGCACCGGCUAACUCCGUGCCAGCAGCCGCGGUAAUACGGAGGGUGCAAGCGUUAAUCGGAAUUACUGGGCGUAAAGCGCACGCAGGCGGUCUGUCAAGUCGGAUGUGAAAUCCCCGGGCUCAACCUGGGAACUGCAUUCGAAACUGGCAGGCUAGAGUCUUGUAGAGGGGGUAGAAUUCCAGGUGUAGCGGUGAAAUGCGUAGAGAUCUGGAGGAAUACCGGUGGCGAAGGCGGCCCCCUGGACAAAGACUGACGCUCAGGUGCGAAAGCGUGGGGAGCAAACAGGAUUAGAUACCCCAGUAGUC